UUGCCUACGGGACGCAGCAGUGAGGAAUAUUGGUCAAUGGUCGGGAGACUGAACCAGCCAAGCCGCGUGAGGGAUGAAGGUACAGAGUAUCGUAAACCUCUUUUGUCAGGGAACAAAGGCGGGGACGCGUCCCCGGAUGAGUGUACCUGAAGAAAAAGCAUCGGCUAACUCCGUGCCAGCAGCCGCGGUAAUACGGAGGAUGCGCGCGUUAUCCGGAUUUAUUGGGUUUAAAGGGUGCGCAGGCGGUCUGUUAAGUCAGCGGUCCAAACCCGGGGCGCAACCCCGGCCCUCCG
This 293-nucleotide ribosomal RNA is filed under the name uncultured bacterium. RNAcentral's name for it is "partial 16S ribosomal RNA". It matches the Rfam family "Bacterial small subunit ribosomal RNA", at positions 335 to 626 of the family's 1533-position model. The record is from RNAcentral.